UAGUGAGUUUGAUCCUGGCUCAGGACGAACGCUGGCGGCGUGCCUAAUACAUGCAAGUCGAGCGCAGGAAAUCGACGGAACCCUUCGGGGGGAAGUCGACGGAAUGAGCGGCGGACGGGUGAGUAACACGUAAAGAACCUGCCCUCAGGUCUGGGAUAACCACGAGAAAUCGGGGCUAAUACCGGAUGGGUCAUCGGACCGCAUGGUCCGAGGAUGAAAGGCGCUUCGGCGUCGCCUGGGGGAUGGCUUUGCGGUGCAUUAGCUAGUUGGUGGGGUAAUGGCCCACCAAGGCGACGAUGCAUAGCCGACCUGAGAGGGUGAUCGGGCCAC
Molecule: ribosomal RNA, 330 nt
Filed under: uncultured Exiguobacterium sp.
Lineage: Bacteria; Bacillati; Bacillota; Bacilli; Caryophanales
Description: bacterial SSU rRNA
Rfam family: Bacterial small subunit ribosomal RNA
Source: RNAcentral